GGGCGCAAGYCUGAUGCAGCGACGCCGCGUGAGGGAUGGAGGCCUUCGGGUUGUAAACCUCUUUUGUUUGGGAGCAAGCCUUCGGGUGAGUGUACCUUUCGAAUAAGCGCCGGCUAACUACGUGCCAGCAGCCGCGGUAAUACGUAGGGCGCAAGCGUUAUCCGGAUUUAUUGGGCGUAAAGGGCUCGUAGGCGGCUCGUCGCGUCCGGUGUGAAAGUCCAUCGCUUAACGGUGGAUCUGCGCCGGGUACGGGCGGGCUGGAGUGCGGUAGGGGAGACUGGAAUUCCCGGUGUAACGGUGGAAUGUGUAGAUAUCGGGAAGAACACC
Molecule: ribosomal RNA, 327 nt
Filed under: uncultured bacterium
Lineage: Bacteria
Description: bacterial SSU rRNA
Rfam family: Bacterial small subunit ribosomal RNA
Source: RNAcentral